RNAcentral lists this ribosomal RNA (435 nucleotides) under Prochelator lateralis. RNAcentral's name for it is "partial large subunit ribosomal RNA". Lineage: Eukaryota; Metazoa; Arthropoda; Malacostraca; Isopoda; Desmosomatidae. The record is from RNAcentral.
CCGUGCUAAGGUAGCAUAAUCAUUUGUCUCUUAAUUAGAGGCUAGUAUGRAUGAGUGAAUAAUACCUUGGCUGUCUCGACAAAAAUUAAUGAAAUUGAUAAUUGCGUCAAAAAGCGCACCUCCCUGGAAAGACGAUAAGUCCCCGUAAAAUUUUUACUUACCCCCUCUGCUAAUCCUUAGGGCCUUCCCCCAGAAAGGGUUGAGUUAAGCUGGGGCGGCAUCUAAUACAAAAACAAACUUUAGUAAACCCCCCACUCCCGAUGAUAAAAAAGAUCUUAAACCUUAUAAGAAUUAGAAAAAACUACUUCGGGGAUAACAGCAUAAUUUUUUUAUAUAGACCAGAUAGAAAAAAAAGAUUAUGACCUCGAUGUUGAAUUGGGGCCCCUCACUGAAGCAAACAUCCGUGGAGGGGGUCUGUUCGACCCUUAAUCCCCC